Molecule: ribosomal RNA, 384 nt
Filed under: Triticum aestivum (bread wheat)
Lineage: Eukaryota; Viridiplantae; Streptophyta; Magnoliopsida; Poales; Poaceae
Description: partial small subunit ribosomal RNA
Source: RNAcentral
AUGACUUCCUCACAGAUGGAGGAGGAAAUUAAUCCGCUUCGUGAGGUCGCUGACUCCUUGCAAAGCUGGAUGGUGCGUAUUGGGAGCUUUCUGGAGCGCGCGGAGGCUGCUCUGCAAAGUCUCCCUCUUGCACAUGCUCCCGUGGUUGAGUCUUGUGUUGGCUUGUUGAUGGAUGAGGCAGGUGCGGAGCUCUUUGGUAGCUUCUCACCCCGUGUUGGGUCUAGUUCGAUGCCCCUUGUGUUUCUGGAGUCCAUGGGUGAGGCUUCCGCUGAGGUUGUGUCUCCGGUGUUGCAGAUCACGCUCGAGUUGCAGGUGUUGUGUGGGGAACAUGUUUCGUCUGUGUCAAUGGAGCAGCUCAAGUUUGAAUCUCUCCAGGCUUCGUAG